GCCUGAUCCUGGGACAUGCUGCCCAGAGCUCCGCUUCUGGGGCAUGUUUCUAUGACCUUGACCUGCCUUGUUUGUAGAUGCACAGGUGGGGAAACACACAUUUGAAGGGAGGCUGAGGAGGUAAGCUAAACAAGCUCUGGCCUCAAGAUAAGCAAUAGCAAAACAGUUGUAGCUCCUCCACCACCAGACACUUACUGGCUGACUCCCCUGUUCCACAAGCCAUAACUACAGCUUUGAUUGGCCAAAUGAUUGAUUUCAGUAACUUUCUCCUGAUAAGAAGACCACUGCCCAGGGACUGCUUCUGGCCAGUUUACAGAGGCUGCACACUUGAGUGCCUUUGUGUCUCUGCGUCACCUUUUGAGGAAUGAGAUCAACUUCAUGAGACUUAUUUUGACUGGAUCAUCUGAGGUCAGGAGUUCGAGACCAGCCUGGCCAACAUAGUGAAACCCCGUCUCUACUGAAAAUACAGAAUUAGCCGGGCGUGCCUGUAAUCUCAGCUACUUGGGAAGCUGAGGCAGGAGAAUUGCUUGAACCUGGGAGGUGGUGGAGGUUGCAGUGAGCCGAGACUGCGUCUUUGCACUGCAGCCUGGGCGACAAGAGCAAAACUUCAUCAAAAAAAAAGAAAAAAAAGAAAAAAGAAAAGAAAGAAGUGGGUGCAGAGGCUGGGCUACAGAAGAACACACCAAUUCCCAUGGUUGAAUACUCCUUCGCACAAAAGCAGAGUCUCUGUGAGGGAUAAGGACUCCUUGAAGAUCACAGGGGUGGUAAGAGGGAAGACUGGGUUCCCAUCAUUUCCUGAACAGCUCAUGUUAUUGAUGAAAUGUUGAGGUCUCUCCUUACUGAAAGCCAGAGUUUCUGGCAUUUCUUG
This 868-nucleotide long non-coding RNA is filed under the name Pan troglodytes (chimpanzee). RNAcentral describes it as "long non-coding RNA NONPTRT003434". The record is from RNAcentral. Lineage: Eukaryota; Metazoa; Chordata; Mammalia; Primates; Hominidae.